Molecule: transfer RNA, 40 nt
Filed under: Cucumis rigidus
Lineage: Eukaryota; Viridiplantae; Streptophyta; Magnoliopsida; Cucurbitales; Cucurbitaceae
Description: partial tRNA-Phe
Source: RNAcentral
GGCCGGGAUAGCUCAGUUGGUAGAGCAGAGGACUGAAAAU